UUGAAUCAUCUCAGCUCUCAUAUCACGUAUGACGCGCCUACGUCACGUCGUCACAACCUGAAGCUAAAGUGGCGAGAGAGCCGUCUCGGCUCGAGCGCGGUCCGGAUUUUAGCUCCACACUGUCGCCAGCCAGACUCCCCACCACAGUGACACAAACCAACCAGCCGCCUCGAGAGGUUGCUGAAGAGGUAUGCAGCGAUGGUCUGGAGGAAAAAAUAGUCACAUGGACUGGUGUGCAUUCCAGUACUUGAAAUGAUGCUGUUGCUCAGGCACAUCCAGGUGCGAGGAUGGGGGAGAUCCGGAUGUCGCUAAAUAAAAGAAUCUGUGAACUGCUUCACCAAGAGAAAAAGAAGUCCAUGGACAGGCCUAUGAGCCCUCUUGUUGACCUUGAGUGACUGAGGCUGCGGGCGGUCUGCCCCUGAAUUCACCUUCACUUUCACUUUUUUUUUAUUUUUUUUUUUUUU
Long non-coding RNA from Engraulis encrasicolus (European anchovy), 464 nucleotides. RefSeq lists it as uncharacterized. The transcript has 3 exons. The record is from RefSeq and is a predicted model, not a curated record. NCBI's taxonomy places the organism in Eukaryota, Metazoa, Chordata, Actinopteri, Clupeiformes, Engraulidae.